RNAcentral lists this ribosomal RNA (253 nucleotides) under uncultured bacterium. RNAcentral's name for it is "partial 16S ribosomal RNA". It matches the Rfam family "Bacterial small subunit ribosomal RNA", at positions 524 to 776 of the family's 1533-position model. The record is from RNAcentral.
UACGAAGGGGGCUAGCGUUGCUCGGAAUCACUGGGCGUAAAGGGUGCGUAGGCGGGUUAUUAAGUCAGAGGUGAAAUCCUGGAGCUCAACUCCAGAACUGCCUUUGAUACUGGAGAGCUUGAGUCCGGGAGAGGUGAGUGGAACUGCGAGUGUAGAGGUGAAAUUCGUAGAUAUUCGCAAGAACACCAGUGGCGAAGGCGGCUCACUGGCCCGGUACUGACGCUGAGGUGCGAAAGCGUGGGGAGCAAACAGG